GCCUAAAGCGUCCGUAGCCGGCUCUGUUAGUUUUCGGUUAAAUCCAUAUGCUCAACAUAUGGGCCGCCGGGAAUACUACAAAGCUAGGGAGUGGGAGAGGUAGACGGUACUCCGUAGGAAGGGGUAAAAUCCUUUGAUCUAUGGAUGACCACCAGUGGCGAAGGCGGUCUACCAGAACACGUUCGACGGUGAGGGAUGAAAGCUGGGGGAGCAAACCGGAUUAGAUACCCGGGUAGUCCCAGCUGUAAACUAUGCAAACUCAGUGAUGCAUUGGCUUGUGGCCAGUGCAGUGCCGCAGAGAAGUCGUUAAGUUUGCCGCCUGGGAAGUACGUACGCAAGUAUGAAACUUAAAGGAAUUGGCGGGGGAGCACCACAAGGGGUGAAGCCUGCGGUUCAAUUGGAGUCAACGCCAGAAAUCUUACCCGGAGAGACAGCAGAAUGAAGGUCAAGUUGAAGCCUUUACCAGACAAGCUGAGAAGUGGUGCAUGGUCGUCGCCAGCUCGUGCCGUGAGGUGUCCUGUUAAGUCAGGUAACGAGCGAGAUCCUUGCCUCUAGUUGCUACCAUUACUCUCAGGAGUAGUGGGGCGAAUUAGCGGGACUGCCGUAGUUAAUACGGAGGAAGGAGAGGGCCACGGCAGGUCAGUAUGCCCCGAA
This 654-nucleotide ribosomal RNA is filed under the name uncultured archaeon. RNAcentral's name for it is "bacterial SSU rRNA". It matches the Rfam family "Archaeal small subunit ribosomal RNA", at positions 508 to 1160 of the family's 1478-position model. The record is from RNAcentral.